This 485-nucleotide ribosomal RNA is filed under the name uncultured bacterium. RNAcentral describes it as "partial 16S ribosomal RNA". It matches the Rfam family "Bacterial small subunit ribosomal RNA", at positions 899 to 1397 of the family's 1533-position model. The record is from RNAcentral.
ACUCAAAGGAAUUGACGGGGACCCGCACAAGCGGUGGAGCAUGGGGUUUAAUUCGACGCUACGCGAAGAACCUUACCGAGAUUUGACAUCCUGAGAAUCCGGCGGAAACGUUGGAGUGCCUUCGGGAACUCAGUGACAGGUGCUGCAUGGCCGUCGUCAGCUCGUGUUGUGAAAUGUUGGGUUAAGUCCCGCAACGAGCGCAACCCUUAUCGUCUGUUGUAUUUUUCAGACGAGACUGCCCGGGCCAACCGGGAGGAAGGUGGGGUCGAAGUCAGGUCAGCAUGGCCCUUACAUCUCGGGCCACACCCGUGCUACAAUGGCCGAUACAACGCGUCGCGAACCCGCGAGGGGGAGCUAAUCGCAUCAAAAUCGGUCUCAGUUCGGAUAACAGGCUGAAACUCGCCUGUUUGAAGCUGGAAUCGCUAGUAAACGUGGGUCAGCAUACCACGUUGAAUACGUUCCCGGGUCUUGUACACACCGCCCGU